Molecule: long non-coding RNA, 2016 nt
Organism: Protopterus annectens (West African lungfish)
Lineage: Eukaryota; Metazoa; Chordata; Ceratodontiformes; Protopteridae
Exons: 3
Source: RefSeq, a predicted model, not a curated record
AGUAAUUUUCACUUACAAAUGAAGUUAGUUGUUGCUUUAAGGAUGAACAGCACUGUAGCAACACGUAACAUUCUUGUAAUUUGUUCCUACCUUUCCAAGUUUUAAAUAAAUGCCAACAGUUUGAACUUAAGGGUUCCAUCAUGUCUGUUUGAAAUGAACCCUUUCUAUCAGAGUCAAAGCAAAAUUAAAAGGUACUUAUUUCUCACUGUGUCUGGCUCUCAUGGUGACAAGUCUGUUGGAAACUGUGACCAUCACCUAUAUCUUGCACUGUGGUCCCACAAAGUAUCCAGCUGUCCCACACUGGGUUAGAAAAUUAGUCCUGCAUCACAUUGCAAAAGUUCUUUGCUGGAAACACCAGGAGUCAAGUGACUUCACAGCAAAAGAUGUCACCAUAAUCAUGAACACUGCUGCUCAAGGCAGAAAUGUGAAGACCCAAAUACCUAGCGCAUGCUGGGAUCCAAGCCCACUACAGCCAAUACUGAAAAGCAUUGCUGAAGAUGUAGGUGGGAUUCAGAAACAUUUUAUCAAUCAACAUGAAGAAGAGGAGCUGGAGGAAGAAUGGCUCAAGAUUGGCAAUAUGUUAGACAGGCUUCUCUUUUGCAUUUAUCUGUGCUUUGUAACUGUAUUCACAGUUGUGGUUGUUAGUGUCUGGUUCGCAUGGUACAAUGUGUAAAAGUAUGUUUUUGUAGUUAAUGAAAAAGUAAAAAAACUAAAAUAUUGUCUACUAAUCUGUUUCAUUAUAAGUUUAUAUAUUUUGCCUGCACACAGUCACAGUGCUAUGCAGAGUUUAGCCAAAUUUAAGAUACAGUCAGGGUUUAAGACUUUGUUCUGCUGUUCUCCAAGACAGGCUUUCACAAAUACUGAAAUAUUUUUUCUAUUUUUCUCUGUUUAACUUAAUCUCUGUUACAGUUAGGCUGACGAUUUAUGAUAAUAUAUUCCCAUUUAUGCUCAGAAAACUAUAACUCAGAGGCAAGACUUGUAAAGUGUUAUAAUGAUGUUGUGCAGCUGUGGAUUACAUCACUUUUGUGCUACACAGAACUAGUCAUUCAGUUAGGCUAAAAGCUUUCAAUUCAUCCCUAAAGUUUAUACUUAUGUCUUUAUGGGGUCUUGCUUGGUAAACAUGUUUUAUCUUUAAGCAGUAUGAACUGGAGACACACUAAAAUGUUUUGGUUUCACAUGCAGCAAGUACAGUUUAUUUUCUUGAACUUGAAGUGAUUAUGUUAAAGCUACAGAAAGUAACAAGCUGCAAUUAAAUGUUUAACUUUUAUUAAAAAAUAUGAGUUUGAUAGGCGAUUUACAAACUGUCAAUAAUCAAUUGUGACAGUUUGCAAGUUCUGAAACCUGAUUUUUAAGGUUCAUUGCCCCCUACAAGUUGGCAUCCAGUUCAGGUGUACCGUUUUCCCCCUCCUUUCCUACAGCACUGUCAAGGAAGACUCACUACAGCUUUAUGGAACUACUUUGGAUGUCAAAAUAGAUUUUUAUUUUUGUUUCAUAUCUACUAGUCAAUGACCAAUCAGGAGGAUAGUCUGGGAAAUGAAUGAUAAUGUGAUAUGUGGCAGUUACCUAUUGACCAUAAGGGGUGUUGUUAUUCACUGUGGGAAUCUGUACUUCUGUCUGAAACAAAAUACUCUUUAAAACAUCUUUUGGUUGAUUUCAGGAAGCUUGACAACUAGAAGUACUAAUUUGAAUCUGCAUGUAUUGCUUCCAGUCAUGUAGACUGUUCUGUUAAACCUGUCUGGUUUUAUAAUGGACAUGCACCUAUAAAAAGUGAUACACAUCAGAACAAUAUUCUUCUUAUUUGCAUCAUUUAAUCCUGUUACUACCAUCCAUGUUUAAGGAUUUGCCUUACUAAAUACCAUAAGAUGAACUGCAAUGAUUUCUAUACACCACAGACAUAAUGGCAUAGAACAUGGUGCUGAGUUUUUUUUUUUAAUUCGUAAGAAAAAAUGGAAAUCAAUGGUUGAACUUCACUUUAUUAUUUUAUUCAGUCAUAAGUACAUUUUUGUAACACGAAAG